UGCCCAGAAUCGUUUACCGUGAAAAAAUUAGAGUGUUCAGCUAAGCAGCAGCAGAUCCAAUUUUCUGCCACCGAAUACAUUAGCAUGGGAUAAUGGAAUAGGACCCUGUCCUCCUAUUUUCAGUUGGUUUUGGCAGCGCGAGGACUAGGGUAAUGAUUAAUAGGGAUAGUUGGGGGCAUUAAUAUUUAAUUGUCAGAGGUGAAAUUCUUGGAUUUAUGAAAGAUUAACUUCUGCGAAAGCAUCUGCCAAGGAUGUUUUCAUUAAUCAAGAACGAAAGUUAGGGGAUCGAAGACGAUCAGAUACCGUCGUAGUUUUAACCAUAAACGAUGCCGACCAGCGAUUAGGAGACGUUGAAUACAAAACACCACCAUCGGCGCGGUCGUCCUUGGCGUCUGUGUCCCUUUCAACGGGGGCAUGGCGCGAGGGCGGUUUAGCCCGGUGGCACCGGUGAAUGACUCCCUAGCAGCUUUGUGAGAA
This 477-nucleotide ribosomal RNA is filed under the name Acanthamoeba castellanii. Its description in RNAcentral is "SSU rRNA". It matches the Rfam family "Eukaryotic small subunit ribosomal RNA", at positions 739 to 1098 of the family's 1831-position model. The record is from RNAcentral. Lineage: Eukaryota; Discosea; Longamoebia; Acanthamoebidae.